Molecule: ribosomal RNA, 253 nt
Filed under: uncultured bacterium
Lineage: Bacteria
Description: partial 16S ribosomal RNA
Rfam family: Bacterial small subunit ribosomal RNA
Source: RNAcentral
UACGGGUGAGGCAAGCGUUGUUCGGAAUCACUGGGCUUAAAGCGCGUGUAGGCGGCAUGGUAAGUACCUUGUGAAAACCCUCGGCUCAACCGGGGAACUGCUUGGUAUACUGCCGUGCUCGAGGAAGGCAGAGGUGCCUGGAACUCUAGGUGGAGCGGUGAAAUGCGUAGAUAUCUAGAGGAACGCCCGUGGCGAAAGCGGGGCACUGGGCCUUUCCUGACGCUGAAAUGCGAAAGCGUGGGGAGCAAACGGG